AUGCAAGUCGAACGAACUCUGGUAUUGAUUGGUGCUUGCAUCAUGAUUUACAUUUGAGUGAGUGGCGAACUGGUGAGUAACACGUGGGAAACCUGCCCAGAAGCGGGGGAUAACACCUGGAAACAGAUGCUAAUACCGCAUAACAACUUGGACCGCAUGGUCCGAGUUUGAAAGAUGGCUUCGGCUAUCACUUUUGGAUGGUCCCGCGGCGUAUUAGCUAGAUGGUGAGGUAACGGCUCACCAUGGCAAUGAUACGUAGCCGACCUGAGAGGGUAAUCGGCCACAUUGGGACUGAGACACGGCCCAAACUCCUACGGGAGGCAGCAGUAGGGAAUCUUCCACAAUGGACGAAAGUCUGAUGGAGCAACGCCGCGUGAGUGAAGAAGGGUUUCGGCUCGUAAAACUCUGUUGUUAAAGAAGAACAUAUCUGAGAGUAACUGUUCAGGUAUUGACGGUAUUUAACCAGAAAGCCACGGCUAACUACGUGCCAGCAGCCGCGGUAAUACGUAGGUGGCAAGCGUUGUCCGGAUUUAUUGGGCGUAAAGCGAGCGCAGGCGGUUUUUUAAGUCUGAUGUGAAAGCCUUCGGCUCAACCGAAGAAGUGCAUCGGAAACUGGGAAACUUGAGUGCAGAAGAGGACAGUGGAACUCCAUGUGUAGCGGUGAAAUGCGUAGAUAUAUGGAAGAACACCAGUGGCGAAGGCGGCUGUCUGGUCUGUAACUGACGCUGAGGCUCGAAAGUAUGGGUAGCAAACAGGAUUAGAUACCCUGGUAGUCCAUACCGUAAACGAUGAAUGCUAAGUGUUGGAGGGUUUCCGCCCUUCAGUGCUGCAGCUAACGCAUUAAGCAUUCCGCCUGGGGAGUACGGCCGCAAGGCUGAAACUCAAAGGAAUUGACGGGGGCCCGCACAAGCGGUGGAGCAUGUGGUUUAAUUCGAAGCUACGCGAAGAACCUUACCAGGUCUUGACAUACUAUGCAAAUCUAAGAGAUUAGACGUUCCCUUCGGGGACAUGGAUACAGGUGGUGCAUGGUUGUCGUCAGCUCGUGUCGUGAGAUGUUGGGUUAAGUCCCGCAACGAGCGCAACCCUUAUUAUCAGUUGCCAGCAUUAAGUUGGGCACUCUGGUGAGACUGCCGGUGACAAACCGGAGGAAGGUGGGGAUGACGUCAAAUCAUCAUGCCCCUUAUGACCUGGGCUACACACGUGCUACAAUGGAUGGUACAACGAGUUGCGAACUCGCGAGAGUAAGCUAAUCUCUUAAAGCCAUUCUCAGUUCGGAUUGUAGGCUGCAACUCGCCUACAUGAAGUCGGAAUCGCUAGUAAUCGCGGAUCAGCAUGCCGCGGUGAAUACGUUCCCGGGCCUUGUACACACCGCCCGUCACACCAUGAGAGUUUGUAACACCCAAAGUCGGUGGGGUAACCUUUUAGGAACCAGCCGCCUAAG
Molecule: ribosomal RNA, 1441 nt
Filed under: Lactiplantibacillus pentosus
Lineage: Bacteria; Bacillati; Bacillota; Bacilli; Lactobacillales; Lactobacillaceae
Description: bacterial SSU rRNA
Rfam family: Bacterial small subunit ribosomal RNA
Source: RNAcentral